This 440-nucleotide ribosomal RNA is filed under the name uncultured bacterium. Its description in RNAcentral is "partial 16S ribosomal RNA". It matches the Rfam family "Bacterial small subunit ribosomal RNA", at positions 338 to 795 of the family's 1533-position model. The record is from RNAcentral.
CCUACGGGUGGCAGCAGUGGGGGAUAUUGCACAAUGGGGGAAACCCUGAUGCAGCGACGCCGCGUGUGGGAAGACGGUCCUCUGGAUUGUAAACCACUGUCUCCAGGGACGAAAAUGACGGUACCUGGGGAGGAAGCUCCGGCUAAUUACGUGCCAGCAGCCGCGGGAAUCCGUAGGGAGCGAGCGUUGUCCGGAAUUACUGGGGGAAAGGGGAGCGUAGGCGGGGGUGAAGGUAGGGUGUCAAAACUACCGGCUCAACUGGUAGUCGCACUCAAAACUGCAGCUCUUGAGUGAAGUAGAGGCAGGCGGAAUUCCUAGUGUAGCGGUGAAAUGCGUAGAUAUUAGGAGGAACACCAGUGGCGAAGGCGGCCUGCUGGGCUUUUACUGACGCUGAGGCUCGAAAGUGUGGGGAGCAAACAGGAUUAGAUACCCUGGUAGUC